Molecule: ribosomal RNA, 254 nt
Filed under: uncultured bacterium
Lineage: Bacteria
Description: partial 16S ribosomal RNA
Rfam family: Bacterial small subunit ribosomal RNA
Source: RNAcentral
CGGACGGGUGAGUAACGCGUGGACAACCUACCCCGCACUGGGGGACAACAGCCGGAAACGGCUGCUAAUACCGCAUAUGCGCACGGCCCCGCAUGGGCCGCGCGGAAAGCGCAUGCGGUGCGGGAUGGGUCCGCGUCUGAUUAGCUUGUUGGCGGGGUAACGGCCCACCAAGGCGACGAUCAGUAGCCGGCCUGAGAGGGUGGACGGCCACAUUGGGACUGAGACACGGCCCAGACUCCUACGGAAGGCAGCAG